Molecule: ribosomal RNA, 253 nt
Filed under: uncultured bacterium
Lineage: Bacteria
Description: partial 16S ribosomal RNA
Rfam family: Bacterial small subunit ribosomal RNA
Source: RNAcentral
UACAGAGGGUGCAAGCGUUGUUCGGAAUUAUUGGGCGUAAAGCGCGUGUAGGCGGCUUUGCAAGUCGGGUGUGAAAGCCCUCAGCUCAACUGAGGAAGUGCGCCCGAAACUGCAUGGCUUGAGUACCGGAGAGGAUGGUGGAAUUCCCCAAGUAGAGGUGAAAUUCGUAGAUAUGGGGAGGAACACCGGUGGCGAAGGCGACCAUCUGGACGGAUACUGACGCUGAGACGCGAAAGCGUGGGUAGUAAACAGG